Molecule: ribosomal RNA, 327 nt
Filed under: uncultured Paulinella
Lineage: Eukaryota; Cercozoa; Imbricatea; Euglyphida
Description: SSU rRNA
Rfam family: Eukaryotic small subunit ribosomal RNA (bases 108-327)
Source: RNAcentral
GAUUUCUGGUUGGUCGCCCUAGCCCGUUGGCCUCUGGUCAGCGUGUGCUGGAACGUACCAUCCAUCCUUCCAGAUAGCCGUGCGUACCGUUCAUUCGGUUGCGCGCGUUUUGCGAUCUGGAUCUUUUACUUUGAAAAAAUUAGAGUGUUUAAAGCAGGCUUACGCCAUGAAUACAUUAGCAUGGAAUAAUAAUAUAGGACUUGAGUUCUAUUUUGUUGGUUUCUAGGACUAAAGUAAUGAUUGAUAGGGAUAGUUGGGGGUGCUAGUAUUCAGCGGCCAGAGGUGAAAUUCUUGGAUUCGCUGAAGACUAACUACUGCGAAAGCAUU